Sinocyclocheilus grahami is the source of this 87-nucleotide long non-coding RNA. RefSeq lists it as uncharacterized. The record is from RefSeq and is a predicted model, not a curated record. Lineage: Eukaryota; Metazoa; Chordata; Actinopteri; Cypriniformes; Cyprinidae. The transcript has 3 exons.
UCCACCUGUCAUAUUACAACAUCAUAAAACUGUAGGAUUUUAAUAAUUUUGAAAGCUUCGAUUAAAAUAAAAUCCUACAGUUUAAUG